GAUGAACGCUGGCGGCGUGCCUAAUACAUGCAAGUCGAGCGAACAGACGAGGAGCUUGCUCCUCUGACGUUAGCGGCGGACGGGUGAGUAACACGUGGAUAACCUACCUAUAAGACUGGGAUAACUUCGGGAAACCGGAGCUAAUACCGGAUAAUAUAUUGAACCGCAUGGUUCAAUAGUGAAAGACGGUUUUGCUGUCACUUAUAGAUGGAUCCGCGCCGCAUUAGCUAGUUGGUAAGGUAACGGCUUACCAAGGCAACGAUGCGUAGCCGACCUGAGAGGGUGAUCGGCCACACUGGAACUGAGACACGGUCCAGACUCCGACGGGAGGCAGCAGUAGGGAAUCUUCCGCAAUGGGCGAAAGCCUGACGGAGCAACGCCGCGUGAGUGAUGAAGGUCUUCGGAUCGUAAAACUCUGUUAUUAGGGAAGAACAAAAGUGUAAGUAACUAUGCACGUCUUGACGGUACCUAAUCAGAAAGCCACGGCUAACUACGUG
Molecule: ribosomal RNA, 497 nt
Filed under: uncultured bacterium
Lineage: Bacteria
Description: partial 16S ribosomal RNA
Rfam family: Bacterial small subunit ribosomal RNA
Source: RNAcentral